UAAUAAGUGUUUUAUGGCACUUUUAAAUCCAUAUCCACCUUGUGUGCAAUGUCGGUCGAUCUUCUUGUUUGAGGAUCGACCAAACAUCAACCUUUAUUUUUUAACUCUUUGUCUGAAAAAUAUUAUGAAAUAAACAAUGCCAAAAUAC
RNAcentral lists this unclassified non-coding RNA (148 nucleotides) under soil metagenome. Its description in RNAcentral is "partial internal transcribed spacer 1". The record is from RNAcentral.